UCCAUUGUAUUGACACAAAACCACAGAGACAUUUCUCAAAAUAUCUUCUUUUGUGUUCCACCAAAGUAAGAGUCAUUUUUACCACAUGAGGGGAAAUAAAUGAUGACAGAAACCCUUUAAGUAGAUAUUUUUUGAUAGAUGCUAUUUGUAAAUUAGCAUUCCUUGUUUGCACUGGCAAACUCUUCCAUGACUGCAAGUAAGAAAAACUAAUCCAUAAUCAAAAUAAGUCAUUUUGCAACAGUUAGAAAAGAAAAUUGACAGCUGUCAGAGAUGCUAGAGAUUGUGGGAGCUUUUACAACUGUUAUGCAGGUUGCCAUGACAACACUACCACUUUGCUUUAUUUUAAAACUUAAGACAUUUCACUUUUGCUGUUUGGUUUUUGGUUGAUACUGUGCCGUCUUGGUAUGUCCAAACAUGAUGUUGUGCAGAUAUACACACUGUUGUGACCAAAACAUCUGUGCAGAUGAUGAUGAAUCUUGUAGUCUGGGGCUGGAGAAUCUCUGGAGGCGUGUGUCCUCGUUUAUCUGUCGUCCACUCACAGUAGAUCCAAGAAUGACAUUUGAGGAGAUGAUGGCCUAUCCUUCCUCCAUGCCGUGGCCGUACUUCUCUUGGCAGAUAAUGCCCACGAUUGAGAGCCCCAGAUCAUCAUGGGUCUGGAGGGAUCUGGAGAGAUAUCAGUUCUUGCUACAACAGAUCCAAACCAGCUCUCAGCUGAGCCACAGAGAUAAUGAGAAACCAUGACAUUCAGAUCCAUGUGUGAAAAAUGACAUUCAGGGUCAGAGCAUACAUUCUUCAUCAUGAUGAAGCAAGCACGCCACCUUGUGGACAUAUAGUCACAUUACCCAAGUAUUCAGCUUGGUUAUUUAUACAGCAAACUUUCAUCCAAUUAAAACGAAUGAGGCAUACA
Triplophysa dalaica is the source of this 907-nucleotide long non-coding RNA. RefSeq lists it as uncharacterized. The transcript is spliced from 2 exons. The record is from RefSeq and is a predicted model, not a curated record. Lineage: Eukaryota; Metazoa; Chordata; Actinopteri; Cypriniformes; Nemacheilidae.